This 403-nucleotide ribosomal RNA is filed under the name uncultured bacterium. RNAcentral's name for it is "bacterial SSU rRNA". It matches the Rfam family "Bacterial small subunit ribosomal RNA", at positions 8 to 425 of the family's 1533-position model. The record is from RNAcentral.
AGAGUUUGAUCCUGGCUCAGAAUCAACGCUGGCGGCGUGCCUAACACAUGCAAGUCGAACGAGAAAGUGGAGCAAUCCAUGAGUAAAGUGGCGACCGGGUGAGUAACACGUGACUAACCUACCUUCAAGUGGGGGAUAACAUCGGGAAACCGAUGCUAAUACCGCAUAAUAUCGCAAGAUCAAAGCAGCAAUGCGCUGGAAGAGGGGGUCGCGGCUGAUUAGCUAGUUGGCGGGGUAACGGCCCACCAAGGCGAAGAUCGGUAUCCGGCCUGAGAGGGCGCACGGACACACUGGAACUGAAACACGGUCCAGACUCCUACGGGAGGCAGCAGUGGGGAAUUUUGCGCAAUGGGGGAAACCCUGACGCAGCAACGCCGCGUGGAGGAUGAAGCCCCUUGGGGCG